Molecule: unclassified non-coding RNA, 331 nt
Filed under: Hevea brasiliensis (rubber tree)
Lineage: Eukaryota; Viridiplantae; Streptophyta; Magnoliopsida; Malpighiales; Euphorbiaceae
Source: RNAcentral
CUCGAAAAACUUGUUCUUUCUGGUUGCUCAACACUUGAUGAGCUGCCCAGCGAUCUUGGGAAAAUGGAAUCACUAAAGGUGCUUCAUGCAGAUGGUAUAGUAAGUUCUAUAACUACACCAUGGCAUUUAACCUUCUGGUCCUGGUUAUCACAAAGGCAAGGCAGAGAGUUCUCUUUUCCACUGACUCUUCCACCUCACUCCUUAGUAAGCCUAAGUCUUGCCAAUUGCAAUCUAUCAGAUGAUACUAUAUACUUUAGUAGCCUCCGCUCCUUGAAAUAUUUAAAUUUAAGUGGAAAUUCAAUUUAUUGCCUACCUAAAAGCAUCAAUAGCC